RNAcentral lists this ribosomal RNA (164 nucleotides) under uncultured bacterium. RNAcentral describes it as "partial 16S rRNA". It matches the Rfam family "Bacterial small subunit ribosomal RNA", at positions 355 to 510 of the family's 1533-position model. The record is from RNAcentral.
UAGGGAAGUCUUCCACAAUGGGCGCAAGCCUGAUGGAGCAACACCGCGUGAGUGAAGAAGGGUUUCGGCUCGUAAAGCUCUGUUGUUAAAGAAGAACACGUAUGAGAGUAACUGUUCAUACGUUGACGGUAUUUAACCAGAAAGUCACGGCUAACUACGUGCCA